RNAcentral lists this ribosomal RNA (558 nucleotides) under uncultured bacterium. RNAcentral's name for it is "bacterial SSU rRNA". It matches the Rfam family "Bacterial small subunit ribosomal RNA", at positions 102 to 694 of the family's 1533-position model. The record is from RNAcentral.
ACGGGUGAGUAACGCGUGGGAACGUGCCUUCUGGUUCGGAAUAACUCAGGGAAACUUGAGCUAAUACCGGAUACGCCCUUUUUGGGGAAAGGUUUACUGCCGGAAGAUCGGCCCGCGUCUGAUUAGCUAGUUGGUGGGGUAACGGCCUACCAAGGCGACGAUCAGUAGCUGGUCUGAGAGGAUGAUCAGCCACACUGGGACUGAGACACGGCCCAGACUCCUACGGGAGGCAGCAGUGGGGAAUAUUGGACAAUGGGCGCAAGCCUGAUCCAGCCAUGCCGCGUGAGUGAUGAAGGCCUUAGGGUUGUAAAGCUCUUUUAUCCGGGACGAUAAUGACGGUACCGGAGGAAUAAGCCCCGGCUAACUUCGUGCCAGCAGCCGCGGUAAUACGAAGGGGGCUAGCGUUGCUCGGAAUCACCGGGCGUAAAGGGCGCGUAGGCGGUCUUUUAAGUCGGGGGUGAAAGCCUGUGGCUCAACCACAGAAUUGCCUUCGAUACUGGGAGACUUGAGUUCGGAAGAGGUUGGUGGAACUGCGAGUGUAGAGGUGAAAUUCGUAGA